This is an RNA transcript of Quercus lobata, 2473 nucleotides long. It is a transcript of the gene named pentatricopeptide repeat-containing protein At2g13420, mitochondrial-like, with no coding region annotated. Lineage: Eukaryota; Viridiplantae; Streptophyta; Magnoliopsida; Fagales; Fagaceae. The record is from RefSeq and is a predicted model, not a curated record. The transcript has 3 exons.
AUUGUACUUUCUCCUCUUGGAAUUUCAAUGUAUGAUUGUACCGGUCGUUCGCUUCAUAUACAUGAGAUGAGAGAGUGAAAGAGAGAGAGAGAGACAAUCAAUGGCGUUAAGAAAACUCCCAACUCAUUUCUUCCCUUCCCUCCAACACCAACUCCGACCCUUCUCUUCACUCAACCUCCCGACCUUAGAGCCAUCAAACGAUGCCGAACUAGUAUCCAAAAUGCUCCUCCACCACCACAACCCAUUCCACGCCAUGGAGUCCUCACUCCAACUCCAUGGCAUCACACUCACUCCUCAUCUCCUCCACCAAACUCUCCUCCGCCUCAAACACUCUACCAAAAUCGCCCUCGCUCUUUUCAACUAUUCCAAAUCUCUCCCUUCCCCUCCUCUCACCUCCACUUCCUUUCACAUCCUCAUUGACCUCUUAGCCAAAGUUCGCCAAUUCGACCUCGCUUGGCAACUCAUUGUCGAAAUGGACCAACUUUCACUCUCUCCCACACCCACCACUUUCUUUAUAUUGAUCCGUAGGCUCAUCUCUGCUGGACUUACUCGCCAAGCUAUUCGAGCUUUUGAUGAUAUUCAAGGUUAUACUCAGACUAAGACUAAUAGUGAUGAUUUUUGUUUUUUGUUGGAUACCCUUUGUAAGUAUGGCUAUGUUAAGGUUGCAACCGAGGUUUUUAACAAAAAGAGAGAUGGGCUUUUGCCGGAUGCGAAAAUGUUUACCGUUUUGAUAUAUGGGUGGUGUAAGAUUGGUAGGAUUGAUAUGGGGGAGAGGUUUUUGAAUGACAUGAUAGGGAGAGGGAUUGAGCCAAAUGUGGUUACGUAUAAUGUGUUGUUGAAUGGGAUAUGUAGGCGGGCGAGUUUGCAUCCGGAAGGGAGGUUUGAGAGAACGAUAAGGAAUGCAGAGAAGGUGUUCGAUGAAAUGAGGGAGAGAGGGAUUGAGCCGGAUGUGACUAGUUUUUCAAUCGUGCUUCAUGUGUAUAGUCGGGCACAUAAGCCCGAGUUGUCGCUUGAUAAGUUGAGGUUGAUGAAAGAGAAGGGGAUUUGUCCGAGUGUGGCAACGUAUACUUCAGUUGUUAAGUGUCUGUGUUCGUGUGGGAGCAUUGAGGACGCAGAGGAGUUACUCAGUGAGAUGGUGAGGAAUGGGGUUACUCCAUGUGCAGCAACUUAUAAUUGUUUUUUUAAGGAGUAUAGGGGGAGAAAGGAUGCUGAUAGUGCUUUAAAGUUGUAUAAAAAGAUGAAGGAGGAGGGUUUGUUUGUGCCUAGCAUGCACACAUAUAACAUAUUGGUGGGGAUAUUUUUGAAGUUAAAUCGUUUUGGGAUUGUGAAGGAGAUAUGGGAUGAUAUGAAAGAGAGUGGAGUGGGACCUGAUUUGGAUUCGUAUACAAUGUUGAUUCAUGGUUUAUGCGAGAAACAGAAGUGGAGAGAGGCUUGCCAGUUUUUUGUGGAGAUGAUAGAGAAGGGGUUUCUUCCUCAGAAGAUUACUUUUGAGACGCUUUACAAGGGCCUAAUACAAUCUGAUAUGUUGAGAACGUGGAGAAGAUUAAAGAAGAAACUUGAUGAAGAGUCUAUAACAUUUGGUUCAGAGUUUCAAAAUUAUCAUUUGAAGCCAUAUAGGAGAUGAUACACCAUCAAUCUGCAGAUGUAAUGUGUUCUUCAUUAGAAAGUUCUCAUCAAUUUCACUUUUACUGGUGAGUGGAAUGGAAGCUGGAAAUGGAAGAUUUUCAUAUUUCUGUUGCCUACAAAUAGGUUUCAUACGUGCAGAGCUCAAGGCUUUUAUAAUAGAUGGAGGAUGAUGCUUACUUGGCCAAAACUUCAGCUUUUUAAUCCACUGUAUCAAAAAUUGGGUGGCCUUGCCCUUGGAUCGUGCUGUUGUCCGAGGAUUGGACCCCAAAGAAAGAGAUCCUAAUAGUAGUGGAAUCAUAACCACAUAGGUUGUGCAGGGUGACAAUCUAGGUAGAGAUUGCAGAUCUACUAAAAGAAUUCUUUUAGUACGUUCUUAUUUCAGUUUAUUCACUUGCAGAAAAGAUUGCAACUCAUCUAAUGAUAAGGAUCGUUUCAAUUGAAAUAGAUAAGACGAUAUGUGACAGGACAUCGGCGUUGGUAUCAGAUCAUAACAUAAACAAGUUUCAAGUAGAAGUCCUUGCAUGGCCAACUUAUCAUGACUGACUUACACCAUCAAGAGUACUUGAUUUUAUUGAAAAGUACAGGAGGAGCGGGGGAGAGCUAAAUGAUAUGCUGAGAGAGAAGUCAUUACGGCACCUUGGUUCAGCAACUGAAAGGCCUUAGAUGAAGUUUAAUAACAAAAGAAUGUUCAUGUAAGCAACUGUGAAUACUAUAGAUUUAGUAAAUGUAUUUUUGUUUUUUUAAAAAUAGGCCUAUAGGUUUGGCAGUGGAUUUUGGUUUAUAGUUUUAACUUCACUAUACAUUUAUGUACUUCCAUGUGUCAUCAUUGGAUAUUUAUUUAGAAUCA